This 89-nucleotide transfer RNA is filed under the name Thermofilum sp. Its description in RNAcentral is "tRNA-Ser". It matches the Rfam family "tRNA". Rfam says of the family: Transfer RNA (tRNA) molecules are approximately 80 nucleotides in length. Their secondary structure includes four short double-helical elements and three loops (D, anti-codon, and T loops). The record is from RNAcentral. Lineage: Archaea; Thermoproteati; Thermoproteota; Thermoprotei; Thermofilales; Thermofilaceae.
GCCGGGGUGGCCGAGCGGACUAAGGCGGUGGCCUGGAGAGCCACUGCCCCCUGCGGGGCGCCCGGGUUCGAAUCCCGGCCCCGGCGCCA